UUUUUUUUUUUUUGAGACAGUCUCACUCUGUUGCCCAGGUUGGAGUGCAGUGGCAUGAUCUCGGCCUCUGUCCUCAGGGUUCAAGUGAUUCUCCUGCCUCAGCCUUCCCAGUAGUUGGGAAUACAGGUGCCUGCCACUACACCUGGCUAAUUGUUGUACUUUUUUUUUGUUUUAAGUAGAGAUGGGAUUUCACUAUAUUGGGCCAGGCUGGUCUUAGAACUCCUGACCUCAGGUGAUCCACCUGCCUCAGCCUCCCAAGUGUUGGGAUUACAGGCCUGAGCCACCACACCUAGCCUGAUUUUGUACUUUUUAAAUAAAAUGUUUUCUUCUGGUUCUGGGUAAGAUGGAAUGAGCAUACUCUGUCCUGUGUCUUCACUAAAUGCAGCUGUAAAACCUAGACAGAAUGCAUGAUGUAGGUAUGUGAUAACUGAAAAGUAAACACUGGCAGGAGGAUCUGAAAAGACAAGAAUUCAAAGAGCCACUAAAUAAGCAAUAAGAUUCCCAUUUAACCCUGAUAUCUCUUGAACUCAAAUAAGCCUGGAAGGGCAUAAACAGAAAGAGUGCUAGAAGACUUCUAGCUCUGCUUGAAGAGCAAGAAUAAGAAUUUCUAAUGCUCAGAGAGAAGGGGAAAUCUCUGUGUUUUGUGUUUCUUUCCUCUUCCUUUUUCCUCUCUCCUCUUCCUCCUUCUUUCUUCCUUCCACCUCUUCAUCUUCUUCCUCCUCCUCUUCCUCUUCUUCUUCUCUCUCUUUUUGUUUUUCUUCCCAGACCCCCAGCAUUGCUGCAGCAGUGAUGGGGAGAGGGGCCUAAAACUCUGAAGAAGGGGAAACUUUUCCUCCAAUUGAAAGAGCUAAGAUCUCAAGAGAAGGAGACAAACCCCUGUUGUUUUUCCCUUUUUCUCCCUUACCACUACCCUGCCAUCUGCACCAAAUGCAGGUGCAGUUAUGAGAAGUGCACAGAAGACAGGAGUAACUAAAGUUCCAGGUUUCUGACCUAAAGACUGAACGAGUGAAGUCCAGGGAGCUUAAAAGUAACAGACAGAUGACAUAGAGACAGGAGGUUUAGAACAUAACCCCAUAAAAAUUCCUCAUGAAUUCCUAGGUUCACUCCUGAACACGGAUCUGAUUCUAAGCAUUGUAUCGGUCUUUGGGAAUGGAACUAAGUGAGAUACCACUAUCCAGGUCCCAGAGAGGCCACUAGACAGUGCAUACACAGGACAUAUCUGAAUAACACAGCAAAGGGUCUGGAAAGAGAACUGACUCUGAAACUGUAAACAACAAAACUUGCAACCUUAACCCAUUCAAGUCAAUUAUCCAUAAGAUUUUAAAAAGACCCAUAGUCCCAUAGUCAACACUCAAAAUUUCCAGCAUAAAAUCCAAAAUUACUUAGCAUACGAAGAACUAGGAAAAUCUCGACCCACAUGGGAGAAAACAGUCAACAGACAUCAAAGCCAAGAUAACACAGAUGUUGAAAUUUUCUAACAAAAACUUUAAAGCAGAUAUUUUAAAAUAUUCUAAGAAGUAAAGGAAAAUACUCUUGAAAUGAAUGGAACAGUAGAAAAUCUCACCAAAGGAUUAGAAGAUAUUUUAAAAAACCAAAUGGAAAUUAUGAGACUGAAAAAAGACAAUAGCUGGGGAAAAAGUUGCAGUGAAUGGACUUUAACAGAACAGAGAUGAAAGAGGAAAGAGUCAAAUAAACUUGAAAUUGGAUCAAUAGAAAUUAUUCUAUAUGAACAACAGAGAAAAAAGAUGGACGCAAACAAACAAAAGAACAGAGUCUAGGGACUUCUUGUCCUCAGAGCCAAUACUAAAAGGCAUACAUUUAUAUCAUUGGAGUUUCAGAAAAAGAGGAGAAAAAGUAUAGUGCAAAAAAAUUUGAAGAAUUAAUGGCUGAAAACUCCCCAAAUUUGGCAAAAGAUGUAAACCUACAGAUGCAGGAAGCUCAGUGAAUCUGAAACAAGAUAAAUCCAAAGAGAUCUAUGCUCAGACAGAGUAUAUCAAACUGCUAAAAAUUAAAGACAAUGAAAAAAAAGGCUUGAAAGUAGACAUAGAAAAAUGAUACAUGAUUUAUAGAGAAACAAUAAUUUGAAUAACACAUUUUUUAUCUGAAACCAUUGAAGCCAAAAGGAAGUAAUAGAACAUUUUUUAAAUGUUGAAGAAGAAAUAAAGAACCUAGAAUUCUAUAUACAGAGAAAGUAGUCUCUGCAAAUGAAGAUGAAAUACAGACAUUCUCAGAUGAAAGAAAACUAAGAAUUUAUGGCUGGCAGACCUACUCUGAAAUCAGGAAGGAAAUGAUACCUGAAAGAAGUUUAGAUCAUCAGGACUAAAAACAAGAGUAACGUAAAUGGUAAGUAUCUGGGUAAAUAUAAUAGACUUGAGUUCUUUAAAAUAUGUUCGAUAGUUGAAAACAAAGAUUAAAAAAUUAUCUAAUUGGUCUUAAGCAUAUAUGGAUAUAAUUCAUAAAACAGCUGCAACAUGAAGAAGGAACAUAAAAAAAUAAAGUGAUAAAAUUUCUACAUUCUACAUGAAGUGAUAAAAUAUAAUUUUAAAAAGACUGUUGAGGCUGGGUGCAGUGGCUCAUGCCUGUAAUCCCAGCACUUUGGGAGGCCAAGGCAGGUGGAUCACUUGAGGUCAGGAGUUUGAGACCAGCUUGGCCAACAUGGUAAAACCCUGUCUCUACUAAAAAUACAACAAUUAGCUGGGUGUGGUGGUGCUUGCUUGUAAUCUCGGUCACUUGGGAGGCUGAGGCAGGAGAAUUGCUUGAAGCUGAGAGGCAGAGGUUGCAGUGAGCCAAGAUCACACCAGUUGCACUCCAGCCUGGGUGACAAAGUGAGACUCUGUCUCAAAAAUAAAUAAGGUCAGGCAUGAUGGCUCACGCUGUAAUCCCAGCACUU
Molecule: long non-coding RNA, 2890 nt
Organism: Macaca fascicularis (crab-eating macaque)
Lineage: Eukaryota; Metazoa; Chordata; Mammalia; Primates; Cercopithecidae
Source: Ensembl